GCCCUCCACCGCACGCUCGUUUCACAUCUUCCGAAUUCUCAGUCAAUCUCUCUCUCUUUCUUCUUCCUGGCAAGGAACUGAACCACAGAACAGCUCCACCAGCAGGCUGAUUUCUCCCUGCUCCGCCCACCAUUCCCAAAUCUCCGCCUGCCGAGCCUUCCCCACCUCCCAAACUCCACUCGCCACCACUCAGCAGCGCCGUCCAUGGCUCCUCCGGCGGGGGAUUGACAAAUCCCCGCCCGCCAUUGCCGCCGGCCCCGAGCUCGGGCACCACCGGUGAACUCCCCCGUACCGGCCUCCUCUUCCACCACCGACCGCCAAAACGGAACCCCGAGUCCACAGCUGAGAACUUCAUGUACGAGUUGGUCACUGAGCCCAAAGGGCAACAAGAGCAGCAAGAAGAUUCAGUCCAAGGUCCGGAAGAGCCCAGUGCUAAGCAGCAGAAAGAAGGCAAGCCGCAGAGCAUAAUCUCUAAUUUUAAAAUUAUGCAAUGUUCUUAGUUAUGUAUAUGUGCAUUAACUUUUCACGAGUUGGAUGAAACCAUACUAGUUGUUAUAUACUAAGUAUGUGUAGCUCGAUAAAAAUGCUAUGCUUAAUUAA
Long non-coding RNA from Setaria italica (foxtail millet), 600 nucleotides. RefSeq lists it as uncharacterized. The transcript has 2 exons. The record is from RefSeq and is a predicted model, not a curated record. NCBI's taxonomy places the organism in Eukaryota, Viridiplantae, Streptophyta, Magnoliopsida, Poales, Poaceae.